RNAcentral lists this ribosomal RNA (440 nucleotides) under uncultured bacterium. Its description in RNAcentral is "partial 16S ribosomal RNA". It matches the Rfam family "Bacterial small subunit ribosomal RNA", at positions 338 to 795 of the family's 1533-position model. The record is from RNAcentral.
CCUACGGGGUGCAGCAGUGGGGAAUAUUGCACAAUGGGGGAAACCCUGAUGCAGCGACGCCGCGUGAGUGAAGAAGUAUUUCGGUAUGUAAAGCUCUAUCAGCAGGGAAGAAAAUGACGGUACCUGAUUAAGAAGCCCCGGCGAACUACGUGCCAGCAGGCGCGGUAAUACGUAGGGGGCAAGCGUUAUCCGGAUUUACUGAGGGUAAAGGGAGCGUAGACGGCAGCACAAGUCUGGAGUGAAAUGCCGGGGCGUAACCCCCGAACUGCUUUGGAAACUGGGAAGCUAGAGUGCAGGAGAGGUAAGUGGAAUUCCUAGUGUAGCGGUGAAAUGCGUAGAUAUUAGGAGGAACACCAGUGGCGAAGGCAGCUUACUGGACUGUAACUGACGUUGAGGCUCGAAAGCGUGGGGAGCGAACAGGAUUAGAUACCCCAGUAGUC